RNAcentral lists this ribosomal RNA (492 nucleotides) under uncultured bacterium. RNAcentral's name for it is "partial 16S ribosomal RNA". It matches the Rfam family "Bacterial small subunit ribosomal RNA", at positions 29 to 507 of the family's 1533-position model. The record is from RNAcentral.
AGUGAACGCUGGCGGUAGGCCUAACACAUGCAAGUCGAGCGGCAGCACAGUAAGAGCUUGCUCUUACGGGUGGCGAGUGGCGGACGGGUGAGGAAUACAUCGGAAUCUACUUUUUCGUGGGGGAUAACGUAGGGAAACUUACGCUAAUACCGCAUACGACCUACGGGUGAAAGCAGGGGAUCUUCGGACCUUGCGCGAUUGAAUGAGCCGAUGUCGGAUUAGCUAGUUGGCGGGGUAAAGGCCCACCAAGGCGACGAUCCGUAGCUGGUCUGAGAGGAUGAUCAGCCACACUGGAACUGAGACACGGUCCAGACUCCUACGGGAGGCAGCAGUGGGGAAUAUUGGACAAUGGGCGCAAGCCUGAUCCAGCCAUACCGCGUGGGUGAAGAAGGCCUUCGGGUUGUAAAGCCCUUUUGCUGGGAAAGAAAAGCAGCAGGUUAAUACCCCGCUGUUCUGACGGUACCCAAAGAAUAAGCACCGGCUAACUUCGUG